GUUUGAAUUGUGCUGGCUCUGCUCCUGAUCUGCCUUUUUGUCAGUCUCAGCCAAUCCUAUGGGGAAGCAUUGUGAUUGGAUCAGGCUACCACUUCUGAUGAUGUCAGCAGGCAGUGGGCAGGUCAAAAGGAAACUGGGACAAAGUAAGCAGCUCCAGAUUUGAAUACAAGUAGGACUUUACUAUAUUUAGGGAGGCAUGAAGGGACCAGGAU
Pelobates cultripes (western spadefoot toad) is the source of this 212-nucleotide non-coding RNA. The record is from the annotation of a GenBank genome assembly. NCBI's taxonomy places the organism in Eukaryota, Metazoa, Chordata, Amphibia, Anura, Pelobatidae.